RNAcentral lists this ribosomal RNA (398 nucleotides) under Apedinella sp. Its description in RNAcentral is "partial small subunit ribosomal RNA". It matches the Rfam family "Eukaryotic small subunit ribosomal RNA", at positions 582 to 975 of the family's 1831-position model. The record is from RNAcentral. Lineage: Eukaryota; Dictyochophyceae; Pedinellales.
AUUCCAGCUCCAAUAGCGUAUAUUAAUGUUGUUGCAGUUAAAAAGCUCGUAGUUGGAUUUCUGGGUUCUUCGCUAGCUUUGGUCCGCAAGGGCUUCAGUGGGCUGUUUGAAUCCAUCCUCAGGGGGACCCAUGCUGGUAUUCAUUUAUCGGUGUGGGAACGCCUGUCGUUUACUGUGAACAAAUUAGAGUGUUCAAAGCAAGGUGUACUUGAAUACAUUAGCAUGGAAUAAUAAGAUAGGACUUUGGUGGUUCUUUUUGAUAUUUUGUUGGUUUGCACGCCAAAGUAAUGAUUAAUAGGAGCAGUUGGGGGUAUUCGUAUUCAAUUGUCAGAGGUGAAAUUCUUGGAUUUAUAGAAGACGAACUACUGCGAAAGCAUUUACCAAGGAUGUUUUCAUCA